Molecule: ribosomal RNA, 1237 nt
Filed under: marine metagenome
Description: bacterial SSU rRNA
Rfam family: Bacterial small subunit ribosomal RNA
Source: RNAcentral
GUCUGAGAGGACGAUCAGCCACAUUGGGACUGAGACACGGCCCAGACGUCUACGGACGGCAGCAGGAGAGAAUAUUGGACAAUGAGGGAAACCGUGAUCCAGCCAUACCGCGUGUGUGAAGAAGGCCUUAGGGUUGUAAAGCACUUUAAGCGAUGAAGAAGAAAAGUAAGUUAAUACCUUAGUUUUUUGACGUUACUCGCAGAAUAAGUACCGGCUAACUCCGUGCCAGCAGCCGCGGUAAUACGGAGGGUACAAGCGUUAAUCGGAAUUACUGGGCGUAAAGCGCGCGUAGGCGGUUAAGUAAGUUGGAUGUGAAAGCCCUGGGCUCAACCUAGGAACUGCAUUCAAAACUAUUUAACUAGAGUACGAGAGAGGAGAGUAGAAUUUCUGGUGUAGCGGUGAAAUGCGUAGAUAUCAGAAGGAAUACCAAUGGCGAAGGCAGCUCUCUGGAUCGUCACUGACGCUAAGGUGCGAAAGCGUGGGUAGCAAACAGGAUUAGAUACCCUGGUAGUCCACGCCGUAAACGAUGAGAACUAGCCGUUGGGGGGAAUUAACUCUUCAGUGGCGCAGCUAACGCAUUAAGUUCUCCGCCUGGGGACUACGGCCGCAAGGCUAAAACUCAAAUGAAUUGACGGGGGCCCGCACAAGCGGUGGAGCAUGUGGUUUAAUUCGAUGCAACGCGAAGAACCUUACCUACCCUUGAAUCCAGCGAAGUUCCUAGAGAUAGGAAUGUGCCUUCGGGAACGCUGUGACAGGUGUUGCAUGGCUGUCGUCAGCUCGUGUCGUGAGAUGUAUGGUUAAGUCCAGUAACGAGCGCAACCCCUAUCCUUAUUUGCCAGCACUUCGGGUGGGAACUAUAAGGAGACUGCCGGUCAUAAACCGGAGGAAGGCGGGGACGAGGUCAAGUCAUCAUGGCCCUUAUGGGUAGGGCUACACACGUGCUACAAUGGGUGGUACAGAGGGUCGCCAAAGCGCGAGCUGGAGCCAAACCCCUAAAACCAUUCUUAGUCCGGAUUGGAGUCUGCAACUCGACUCCAUGAAGUUGGAAUCGCUAGUAAUCGCGAAUCAGCAUGUCGCGGUGAAUACGUUCUCGGGCCUUGUACACACCGCCCGUCACGUCAUGGAAGUGUGUUGCACCAGAAGUGGUUUGUUUAACCUUCGGGAGAACGGUCACCACGGUGUGAUUCGCAACUAGGACGAAGUCGUAACAAGGUAGCCCUAGGGGAACCUGGGGCUG